AUGACAGUUAUCUCUCCCUCUUUCUCCUCCUUCACUCCAAAAACUGCAACCUCCUCUUUUUUUACAGUCACAUCCUCCUCUUCUUCUUUCACUCUGAUCGGGUCUUCCUCUUCUUUCACUGAAACGUCUUUCUCUUCUUCUUUCACUGUAACAGCCUCACCCUCUACUUCUCCUCCUUCACUCCAAACACUGCAUCCUAUAAAUCAAAUCACAUGUUAUUUGUCACAUACAGGUGUUCAGCAGAUGUUAUUUGUCACAUACAGGUGUUCAGCAGAUGUUAUUUGUCACAUACAGGUGUUCAGCAGAUGUUAUUUGUUACAUACACCUGUUCAGCAGAUGUUAUUUGUCACAUACAGGUGUUCAGCAGAUGUUAUUUGUCACAUACAGGUGUUCAGCAGAUGUUAUUGCGGGUGUAGUGAAAUGCUUGUGUUUCUAGCUCUGACAGUGCACUAAUAUCUAACGAUACACACAAUCUAAAGGAAGGGAAUUAAGAAUAUAUAAAUAUAUGGACGAGCGAUGUCAGAGCAGCACAGACUGAGAUACAGUAGAAUAGGAUAGAAUACAGUAUAUACAUAUGAGAUGAGUAAUGCAUAGACUGAGAUACAGUAGAAUAGAAUAGAAUACAGUAUAUACAUAUGAGAUGAGUAAUGCAUAGACUGAGAUACAGUAGAAUAGGAUAGAAUACAGUAUAUACAUAUGAGAUGAGUAAUGCAUAGACUGAGAUACAGUAGAAUAGGAUAGAAUACAGUAUAUACAUAUGAGAUGAGUAAUACAUAGACUGAGAUACAGUAGAAUAGGAUAGAAUACAGUAUAUACAUAUGAGAUGAGUAAUGCAUAGACUGAGAUACAGUAGAAUAGGAUAGAAUACAGUAUAUACAUAUGAGAUGAGUAAUGCAUAGACUGAGAUACAGUAGAAUAGGAUAGAAUACAGUAUAUACAUAUGAGAUGAGUAAUGCAUAGACUGAGAUACAGUAGAAUAGUAUAGAAUACAGUAUAUACAUAUGAGAUGAGUAAUGCAUAGACUGAGAUACAGUAGAAUAGGAUAGAAUACAGUAUAUACAUAUGAGAUGAGUAAUGCAUAGACUGAGAUACAGUAGAAUAGGAUAGAAUACAGUAUAUACAUAUGAGAUGAGUAAUGCAUAGACUGAGAUACAGUAGAAUAGUAUAGAAUACAGUAUAUACAUAUGAGAUGAGUAAUGCAUAGACUGAGAUACAGUAGAAUAGGAUAGAAUACAGUAUAUACAUAUGAGAUGAGUAAUGCAUAGACUGAGAUACAGUAGAAUAGGAUAGAAUACAGUAUAUACAUAUGAGAUGAGUAAUGCAUAGACUGAGAUACAGUAGAAUAGGAUAGAAUACAGUAUAUACAUAUGAGAUGAGUAAUGCAUAGACUGAGAUACAGUAGAAUAGGAUAGAAUACAGUAUAUACAUAUGAGAUGAGUAAUGCAUAGACUGAGAUACAGUAGAAUAGGAUAGAAUACAGUAUAUACAUAUGAGAUGAGUAAUGCAUAGACUGAGAUACAGUAGAAUAGGAUAGAAUACAGUAUAUACAUAUGAGAUGAGUAAUGCAUAGACUAAGAUACAGUAGAAUAGUAUAGAAUACAGUAUAUACAUAUGAGAUGAGUAAUGCAUAGACUGAGAUACAGUAGAAUAGUAUAGAAUACAGUAUAUACAUAUGAGAUGAGUAAUGCAUAGACUGAGAUACAGUAGAAUAGGAUAGAAUACAGUAUAUACAUAUGAGAUGAGUAAUGCAUAGACUGAGAUACAGUAGAAUAGGAUAGAAUACAGUAUAUACAUAUGAGAUGAGUAAUGCAUAGACUGAGAUACAGUAGAAUAGUAUAGAAUACAGUAUAUACAUAUGAGAUGAGUAAUGCAUAG
This 1875-nucleotide long non-coding RNA is filed under the name Oncorhynchus kisutch (coho salmon). RNAcentral's name for it is "lncRNA (ENSOKIG00005037002.1)". The record is from RNAcentral. Lineage: Eukaryota; Metazoa; Chordata; Actinopteri; Salmoniformes; Salmonidae.